GCGGAAGUAGCUCAGAUUGGUAGAGCAUCUCCUUGCCAAGGAGAAGGUCGCGGGUUCGAGUCCCGUCUUCCGCU
RNAcentral lists this transfer RNA (74 nucleotides) under Thermalbibacter longus. RNAcentral describes it as "tRNA-Gly". It matches the Rfam family "tRNA". From Rfam's summary of the family: Transfer RNA (tRNA) molecules are approximately 80 nucleotides in length. The record is from RNAcentral. Lineage: Bacteria; Pseudomonadati; Thermomicrobiota; Thermomicrobia; Thermomicrobiales; Thermomicrobiaceae.